RNAcentral lists this ribosomal RNA (253 nucleotides) under uncultured bacterium. RNAcentral's name for it is "partial 16S ribosomal RNA". It matches the Rfam family "Bacterial small subunit ribosomal RNA", at positions 524 to 776 of the family's 1533-position model. The record is from RNAcentral.
UACGUAGGAGGCAAGCGUUGUCCGGAAUUACUGGGCGUAAAGCGCGUGUAGGUGGUGGGACAAGUCUGCUGUGAAAGCGCCUGGCUUAACCGGGCGAGGUCGGCGGAAACUGUUCGACUCGAGGACGGUAGAGGGAGGUGGAAUUCCCGGUGUAGUGGUGAAAUGCGUAGAGAUCGGGAGGAACACCUGUGGCGAAGGCGGCCCCCUGGGCCGGCCCUGACACUGAGACGCGAAGGCGUGGGGAGCGAACGGG